CUUCCCUGCAGCAUUAGGACCCUGUUUAAUUUCCUCGCUUGCACGCUGCGCGAGCCUUUCUAUUCUGAAGAUGCGUCAGUGCUUGAGGUCAUGUUUACUUGAACUGAAUGUGGAUGGGUUGGGAAACCAACCCUUAAAGAAUGGGCCGAAGUAAAAUUCCCAGUUGGUCGGGAGGAACGGAAGUUGCCAGGUAGCUGAUGUCAACAGCUGCUAUCUAUUGGGUUGGAUGGGAGGAACGGAUGUUGCCAGGUAGCUGAUGUUAACAGCUGCUAUCCAUUGGGUUUGAUGGGAGCAAUGGAUGUUGCCAGAUAGCUGAUGUCAAUGGCUGACAGCCAAUGAGUUGGAUGGGAAGAACGGAUGUGGCCAGGCAGCUGAUGUCAACAGCUGAUAUCCAUUGGGUUGGAUGGGAGGAACGGAUGUUGCCAGGUAGCUGAUGUCAGCAGCUGAUAUCCAUUGGGUCGGAUGGGAGGAUCAGAUGUUGCCAGCUGAUGUCAGCAGCUGAUAUCCAUUGGGUUGGAUGGGAGGAACGGAUGUUGCCAGGUAGCUGAUGUCAACAGCUGCUAUCCAUUGGGUUUGAUGGGAGCAAUGGAUGUUGCCAGAUAGCUGAUGUCAAUGGCUGACAGCCAAUGGGUUGGAUUCUAGCUGGAUGGUUGAUGGCAACAGUUGACGACUAGUGGGUUUUCAGCUAAGGUUUUGAAGCUGAUAUAGACAUCGUCUUCAGCCUGUGAAGCUAUGUAAGGUUGCCGUGAUGCCAGAAUUAUUAAUGUAGAGACUUGUCAGUGUGACUGAAGUUGAUGCGGUGGCUGAAAGGUUGUGGUGGCUGGUUUGCAGCGCAAGGGUGAACCGUCAAGCUUCUCUGUAGUUAUUGUACAUUAUAACUUUUAAACACUUGUAUCAGUGUUGUACCUCAUUUCAAGAACAGUUUGAGAAAGUAACUGCUUGUUUUUGACUUCUCAGUUCUUUGUAUAAUUUUUAUUUUAUUUUUUUGUGUUUAUUUACUGGUUUCUUUUAAGUUUAAUAAAAAUCGCUAUAACAGCUCAA
This is a long non-coding RNA of Labeo rohita (rohu), 1041 nucleotides long. RefSeq lists it as uncharacterized. The transcript has 14 exons. NCBI's taxonomy places the organism in Eukaryota, Metazoa, Chordata, Actinopteri, Cypriniformes, Cyprinidae. The record is from RefSeq and is a predicted model, not a curated record.